CCGCCAACACUGGGACUGAGACACUGCCCAGACUCCUACGGGAGGCUGCAGUCGAGAAUCUUUCGCAAUGGACGAAAGUCUGACGAAGCGACGCCGAGUGAACGAUGAAGGCCUUCGGGUUGUAAAGUUCUUUCGCAGGGGAACAAGAGAUAGAGGUUAAUAUCCUUAAAUAUCG
RNAcentral lists this ribosomal RNA (175 nucleotides) under uncultured Chlamydiales bacterium. Its description in RNAcentral is "partial 16S ribosomal RNA". It matches the Rfam family "Bacterial small subunit ribosomal RNA", at positions 304 to 475 of the family's 1533-position model. The record is from RNAcentral. Lineage: Bacteria; Pseudomonadati; Chlamydiota; Chlamydiia; Chlamydiales.